Molecule: ribosomal RNA, 207 nt
Filed under: Triticum aestivum (bread wheat)
Lineage: Eukaryota; Viridiplantae; Streptophyta; Magnoliopsida; Poales; Poaceae
Description: partial small subunit ribosomal RNA
Source: RNAcentral
AUGGAUGUCAAGGGCUCCGAAUCACCUGACUGGAUGCCGAUGACACGCAACUGGGGCGCGAAUUGGCACUCUCUCGCGUACCUGACGGGGCAGAGGCUCUCGUUCAGGGUGACCAACGAUGACGGGCGGACUCUUACGUUCACAAAUGUGGUGCCACCCGGCUGGAAGUUCGGGCAGACAUUUGCUAGCAACGUCCAGUUUAAGUGA